ACUCCUACGGGAGGCAGCAGUAGGGAAUAUUGGUCAAUGGGCGCAAGCCUGAACCAGCCAUGCCGCGUGGAGGAUGACUGCCCUCAGGGUUGUAAACUCCUUUUAUAUAGGAAGAAACCUUUGGAUUUACUCCGAAGCUGACGGUACUAUAUGAAUAAGCACCGGCUAACUCCGUGCCAGCAGCCGCGGUAAUACGGAGGGGUGCAAGCGUUAUCCGGAUUCACUGGGUUUAAAGGGUGCGCAGGCGGGGAAAUUAAGUCAGUGGUGAAAGCCCCGAGCUCAACUUGGGAACUGCCAUUGAUACUGAUUUUCUUGAAUAUAGUUGAGGCUGGCGGAAUACAACAUGUAGCGGUGAAAUGCAUAGAUAUGUUGUAGAACACCAAUUGCGAAGGCAGCUAGCUAAACUAUUAUUGACGCUGAGGCACGAAAGCGUGGGGAGCGAACAGGAUUAGAUACCCUGGUAGGAUAGCG
Molecule: ribosomal RNA, 471 nt
Filed under: uncultured bacterium
Lineage: Bacteria
Description: bacterial SSU rRNA
Rfam family: Bacterial small subunit ribosomal RNA
Source: RNAcentral